This 433-nucleotide ribosomal RNA is filed under the name uncultured bacterium. RNAcentral's name for it is "partial 16S ribosomal RNA". It matches the Rfam family "Bacterial small subunit ribosomal RNA", at positions 29 to 507 of the family's 1533-position model. The record is from RNAcentral.
AACGAACGCUGGCGGCAUGCCUAACACAUGCAAGUCGAACGAGACCUUCGGGGCUAGUGGCGCACGGGUGCGUAACGCGUGGGAACCUGCCCUUAGGUUCGGAAUAACUCCCCGAAAGGGGUGCUAAUACCGGAUAAUGUCUUCGGACCAAAGAUUUAUCGCCUUUGGAUGGGCCCGCGUUGGAUUAGCUAGUUGGUAGGGUAAAAGCCUACCAAGGCGACGAUCCAUAGCUGGUCUGAGAGGAUGAUCAGCCACACUGGGACUGAGACACGGCCCAGACUCCUACGGGAGGCAGCAGUGGGGAAUAUUGGACAAUGGGCGAGAGCCUGAUCCAGCAAUGCCGCGUGAGUGAUGAAGGCCUUAGGGUUGUAAAGCUCUUUUAACCGGGAUGAUAAUGACAGUACCGGGAGAAUAAGCGCCGGCUAACUCCGUG